GGCCCCGUCUUCGUGCGGCUGACUACCGGCGCCGUGUCCCGUCGUUCCAACGGCUUAUGUUACCGUGUCCCUUGAAGUGCUUGCGUGCUGGGUACCCGAACUACGGGCAGUGGUGCUAUGUACAGGUUGCCUYGCGGUGGACGCCUCGCGGUGUGCUGCCGUGGCCAAAUGGCGGUUGCGGCGUUGCCUCAUUGUGCCAACACGUUAACGUGUUUGGUGCUAUCAAGGGAACCUCGCUCCCGUUGUUGGUCUUGGAUGUUUGCUAACAAUAAAGUGUCAUGGCCCUUUCGGUUGCCAUUACCCGACCCUAAAAUGCUCUCCAAAAUGAGAACAACCGGAACAGGUGUUGCCUCUACCUCUCCACAGUUAGUGGUAGGAUAUGCAACAUUUUGCGCCGAUCCUCAAAGUAGGAUGAGCUUUAGCCCGCUCAAUUGCGACAACCGGCCCGGCUGUUGCCUCUGCCUUGACACGCAAGUGGAUGGGUGGACAACUGCUGAUGCUGGACGUCAAUGAGGACGUGCUACCUGGUUGAUCCUGCCAGUAG
RNAcentral lists this unclassified non-coding RNA (544 nucleotides) under Colpodium biebersteinianum. Its description in RNAcentral is "Zingeria biebersteiniana contains 3' external transcribed spacer, ETS". Lineage: Eukaryota; Viridiplantae; Streptophyta; Magnoliopsida; Poales; Poaceae. The record is from RNAcentral.